Spodoptera frugiperda (fall armyworm) is the source of this 452-nucleotide long non-coding RNA. RefSeq lists it as uncharacterized. The transcript is spliced from 3 exons. Lineage: Eukaryota; Metazoa; Arthropoda; Insecta; Lepidoptera; Noctuidae. The record is from RefSeq and is a predicted model, not a curated record.
UUCCAAUUGCAACUGUGUGUAGUAUUUUCUCCCGAUUAUCAGGGAGCGUUUGAAGGAUGCAACUGGGGUGGCGGGGCGGGCGCCGGCGGGGGCCGUGCGCGGCCCAGUCGAGCCGUGGCCACCGCGCACCACGCACGUCGGUGCCGCGCCAGGAACUACAAAUGAGUGCUCCGCGAGACCAAACGCGAACCCCGUGCACCACGACACGACCGGCCAGAGACUGUUGACUGUGUUGCACUAUAGUUCACGUUAAUUAAUCGCCUAGGAUAAGAGUGUUUCGAACUGUACCGGUUUGUGGCUAAUAUGUUCGAGUGUUGAUGUCUGACUGAGCGACUGGACUGGAAAGUAGCGAGUUCGAAUCCUUGCAGCUGACUUCACACGAAGCGUCUGACCGACUAAAUUCAGAAACUAAACUUUUGGAGACAUCGCUAAACUAAGGCGCGGAGAUGUCG